AACACGUAGUCAACCUGCCCAGGGGACGUGGAUAACCUCGGGAAACUGAGAUUAAACCGCGAUAGGUCAAGAUUUCUGGAAUGGAUCCUGGCUUAAAUCUACAUGGCCCCUGGAUUGGACUGCGGCCGAUCAGGCUGUUGGUGAGGUAAUGGCCCACCAAACCUAUAACCGGUACGGGCUCUGAGAGGAGAAGCCCGGAGAUGGGCACUGAGACAAGGGCCCAGGCCCUAUGGGGCGCAGCAGGCGCGAAAACUCUGCAAUGGGCGAAAGCCUGACAGGGUUACUCUGAGUGAUUUCCGCUAAGGAGAUCUUUUGGCAGCUCUAAAAAUGGUGCAGAAUAAGGGGUGGGCAAGUCUGGUGUCAGCCGCCGCGGUAAUACCAGCACCCCGAGUGGUCGGGACGAUUAUUGGGCCUAAAGCAUCCGUAGCCGGUUGUGCAAGUCCUCCGUUAAAUCCAGCCGCUCAACGGAUGGGCUGCGGAGGAUACUACAGAACUAGGAGGCGGGAGAGGCAAGCGGUACUUAGUGGGUAGGGGUAAAAUCCUUUGAUCCAUUGAAGA
This 558-nucleotide ribosomal RNA is filed under the name uncultured archaeon. RNAcentral's name for it is "bacterial SSU rRNA". It matches the Rfam family "Archaeal small subunit ribosomal RNA", at positions 95 to 656 of the family's 1478-position model. The record is from RNAcentral.